RNAcentral lists this ribosomal RNA (253 nucleotides) under uncultured bacterium. RNAcentral's name for it is "partial 16S ribosomal RNA". It matches the Rfam family "Bacterial small subunit ribosomal RNA", at positions 524 to 776 of the family's 1533-position model. The record is from RNAcentral.
GACGGAGGGUGCUAGCGUUGUUCGGAAUUACUGGGCGUAAAGGGCGCGUAGGCGGAUAUUUAAGUUGGGGGUGAAAUCCCGGGGCUCAACCUCGGAAUUGCCUUCAAAACUGGAUAUCUUGAGUUCGGGAGAGGUGAGUGGAACUCCGAGUGUAGAGGUGAAAUUCGUAGAUAUUCGGAAGAACACCAGUGGCGAAGGCGACUCACUGGCCCGAUACUGACGCUGAGGCGCGAAAGCGUGGGGAGCAAACAGG